Molecule: ribosomal RNA, 253 nt
Filed under: uncultured bacterium
Lineage: Bacteria
Description: partial 16S ribosomal RNA
Rfam family: Bacterial small subunit ribosomal RNA
Source: RNAcentral
UACGUAGGGUGCAAGCGUUAAUCGGAAUUACUGGGCGUAAAGCGUGCGCAGGCGGUUUUGUAAGUCUGACGUGAAAUCCCCGGGCUCAACCUGGGAAUUGCGUUGGAGACUGCAAGGCUGGAGUUUGGCAGAGGGGGGUAGAAUUCCACGUGUAGCAGUGAAAUGCGUAGAGAUGUGGAGGAACACCGAUGGCGAAGGCAGCCCCCUGGGUCAAGACUGACGCUCAGGCACGAAAGCGUGGGGAGCAAACAGG